GGCGAACGGGUGAGUAAUGCUUCGGAAUCUGCCCAUGGUGGGGAAUAACCAGCCGAAAGGUUGGUAAUACCGCAUAAGUCCUACGGGGGAAGCAGGGGAUCGCAGACUUGGCGAUGAUGAGCCGAAUCGGAUUACUAGUUGUAGGGUACGGCCUACCAGGAAUCCGUACUGGUCUGAUGAGGACGACCAGCCACCCUGUGGACUGAGGCCCGGCCCAAACCCAAAGGGGAGGCAGUGGGGAAUAUGGGACAAUGGGGGAAACCCUGAUCCUAGGACGCCGGGUGUGUGUGAACGAAGGCCUGCGGGUUGGUAAGAGCACUUUCGAGUGGGGGAUCGAACACAUGCUCGAGGGCUAACACCUCUGGGUCUUGACCUAACCCGACAGAAAAAGCACCGGCUAAGCUCUGUGCCAGC
This 414-nucleotide ribosomal RNA is filed under the name uncultured bacterium. RNAcentral describes it as "bacterial SSU rRNA". It matches the Rfam family "Bacterial small subunit ribosomal RNA", at positions 97 to 512 of the family's 1533-position model. The record is from RNAcentral.